ACCGGGCUUGGUAACGCAAGCCUGUCACCCAAGUGGGGGUAAUAAAAUGGAGGUAGUUAAUUGGUUUUG
This 69-nucleotide non-coding RNA is filed under the name Trifolium pratense (red clover). The record is from RNAcentral. Lineage: Eukaryota; Viridiplantae; Streptophyta; Magnoliopsida; Fabales; Fabaceae.